GUGUGUGUGUAUGUGUGCUUGUCAGUGAGAGUGUAUGUGUGCUUGUCAGUGAGUGUGUAUAUGUGUUUGUAUGUGUGUCUGUCAAAGAGACGAGUAUGUGUGUCUGAGUGUGUGUCAGCGUGUGUAUCUGUAUGUCAAGGUUUGUGUAUGUGUCACUGUGUUUAUCCGAGUGUUUGUAUUGGUGUGUAUCUCUGUGUCAAGGUCUGUGCAUGUGUCAAGGUGUGUAUCUUUGUGUCUGUGUGUAUAUGUCAGUAUGUAUAUGCAUGUGUGUGUAUGUGUCAAUGUUUUUAUGUGUCUGUGUGUUAAUUUGUUUGUGUAUGUAUGUACGUACGUACGUACGUACGUGGCAUACGUACUGCAAUCAUAUGUGCAUACAUCCCAGCAAUUAAACACCAUCCCAGCAAUCAAACAUGUAUAUCUGCAUCCAUCCCUGCAUACACUCCUGCAAACACAAACAUUACAUACAAACACACCCCUGCAGGCAAAUGUAAACAUUACAUACAAAGACACCCC
Pelobates cultripes (western spadefoot toad) is the source of this 513-nucleotide non-coding RNA. NCBI's taxonomy places the organism in Eukaryota, Metazoa, Chordata, Amphibia, Anura, Pelobatidae. The record is from the annotation of a GenBank genome assembly.